UACCUUUGCACACGAAUUGAGAAAAUCUUAAUUCAUACAUAAUAAUCAUUUAAAUAAUAUUAGCAUG
This 67-nucleotide non-coding RNA is filed under the name unclassified sequences. Its description in RNAcentral is "S15-Flavobacteria ribosomal protein leader". It matches the Rfam family "S15-Flavobacteria ribosomal protein leader". The record is from RNAcentral.